RNAcentral lists this long non-coding RNA (232 nucleotides) under Brassica napus (rape). Its description in RNAcentral is "long non-coding RNA (BNAP_LNC004582)". The record is from RNAcentral. Lineage: Eukaryota; Viridiplantae; Streptophyta; Magnoliopsida; Brassicales; Brassicaceae.
UAUAACUUGACAAAUUUUUAAUAUUUUAUUUUCUUUUUUAAAACAUAUUAAAUCUGAAAUAACUAAAUCAUAUUGGUUGGUGAAACUACGGGUUUACCUUAGGGGUGAACCUACGAGUAAUAAACUUCCAAAGUUUAAUUUUCUUUAAAAGAAAACGGAAAUAAACUUCCAAAGUUUAAUGACUCAUUCAGUUAUUUUUCUUUUCAUGUCGACAACUUGUUCCUUUUUACCG